RNAcentral lists this unclassified non-coding RNA (356 nucleotides) under Hevea brasiliensis (rubber tree). Lineage: Eukaryota; Viridiplantae; Streptophyta; Magnoliopsida; Malpighiales; Euphorbiaceae. The record is from RNAcentral.
AAAGAUGAGGGGUCACUCUAGAAAUCUCAAGGUGGGAAAGUGCAAUGAGCAAUACCCUAGGUGGUUUUAGUUGUCCGCUUGAAUGGUGGUGUAUUUUUUUAGUAUGUUUUGAUGAACCGGAAAAUGAAAUGCUAGAAAAAUCUGAGAUAUAAAGAAUAGGGUUGCUGCUGUAGGUCAAAUAUGGUUUAAAGGAAAGUUGUACUUCCCAUGAUGUGAGGAAGAAGUUUUUUUAACACCACUUUUCUGAAAAGGUUUUUAAUUUCAUCUUUUUAAAACAUGUGUUGGUGUGACUCCGAAUAUUAUGUUGAUAUUUUAUACUGAGUAUAAUAUUAUCAUUUGUGAAUCUAAAGAUUGUG